GUGACUUUGAGACUAUGUCACUUGAAAACAUUUAUUAUAAAAAAUCUCCAAAAAUUCAAAUGAAAUAAACCUCUGAAAGCAUAAUAACGUUAGGUAACUUGAUAAUAUAUCAUUUGCAUUUAUUUUUCCGGACCAUUGAACAGAAACUAGUUCAUUUCAAAGAUUAAAUUUUCUUAAUUAGAUAGAUGAAGUCAAAGGUCAAAAUGUAGUUAGAGUAUUGACAUUAUUAAUAUGCUAGAUAUUUGUACUAUGAGCUUAAAGAAACAUUCUCUACUUGGGAGGCUGAGGUAGGGAGACCCCUGAGGCUGAGAAUUCAAGACCAGCCUGGGCAAUAUAGCCAGACCCCCCUUCUGAAAAAAAGUUUUUUUUCAAUAAGCCAGGCAUGGUGCCACAUGCCUGUAGUUCCAACAGAAAGAUCACUUGAGCCCUGGAGUUUGAGGCUGCAGUGAGCUAUGAUCAUGCCAUAGUACUCCAGCCUGGGAAACAGUAUGAGACUGCCUCUAAACUUUUUUUUUAAUUUUCUUUAAUUUUUUUUAAUUAAUUAAUUUUUUAAUUAUUAUUAUACUUUAAGUUUUAGGGUACAUGUGCACAAUGUGCAGGUUAGUUACAUAUGUAUACAUGUGCCAUGCUGGUGUGCUGCACCCACUAACUCGUCAUCUAGCAUCCAAAGAAUCACAGCAUAGUCAAUUACAUCAAAAUUGAAAGCUUUGUCCCCAGUGCCCAGAAGUGGUAUAAUGUAAAUUUUAAUUUGUUUCUUUUGUUAAUAUAUCAAAUUGCAAGUGAUUCAUAGAAAACAUUUUGAAGGAAGAGAGUAGGGUCUUGAGCUUUCUUAAAAAGUGAAUUUUAGUUGACUCUAACAUAGAGGCAUCUUGGAGGGUAAAUACUAUUUUGCCCCAGUUAUAAUUGUGUUUGAAUGAAAUGCUGGAGAAAGCGUAGUGACAUUAUUCUUUCAUUAGUUUUGUUUUUGCUUUUCGAUAUUUUGUUUAUUUUGCUAAAUACUAGUUCCUAGAAAAGUACAAAAGUCGGUAAUGGUUCUAAUAUUAGGAGACUUCAGUCUGCUCUUAGCUGAGAUUAUCUGAGACAUAUGUGCUUCUCUGUGCAUGAUCAAGACUAAGGAGUUAUUUAAUCCCUAUCAAGUAUCAGACACUGCUCUAGGUUCUGGGACAUAGCAACAAGCAAAAGGAAGUUCCAAAUGUCAUGGAACUCACAUUGUAAUUGGCAAUGAUAGACAAUAAAUGGUUAUGCAGUAUUUCCAAUGAUGACAAAUGCUGUGGGAAAAAAAAAAAGCUAGGAAAAAAUGGUUAAGGGAUGGAGAGUGAUGCAAAGGGUGCCAUUUUAUAAAGAUUAGGUAGGAGCAACACGCAAAUAAGGGACAUUCUAACAAAGACUUGAUUGGAGAGUGUGAGCCAAGUAAAUGUCUCCAGGAAGAGCUUCACAAGCAGAAGCUAUGUAGGUGCAGAGGCAGUGAAUGGAAGCAUACUUGGUUUCACCACCAAAAAGUCAGGGCUGAUGGAGUGAACUUUGAGAAGGAAAGAAUGGUGAGGUAUAAAUUCAAUCAAGUUAGCCAGAGGUCAUAUAAUAUGGGUUCCACACAAUCAUAGUAUUCUGAGUGAGAUGAAAAGUUGUUCGAGGUUUUUGAGCUUAAAUGACAUAGUCUGUUUCAUUUCAAUAGAAUCAUUCUGGCUACUAUGUGGACAAAAACUGUAGCAGGUAAAGAACAGGAGCCAAGAAGCCAGUAUGGAGCCAAAGAGCAGGCCAAGUGAGGGAUGAUGACUCACUCACUGGCUAGCUGAGUGGUUCUUGGGUAUGUAGAAAUCUUCAUUUCUUCUGAAUGUUUUGACUUAGAAGCUUCCAUCUGUGACAUAAAUGGAUAAUGACUCACUCACUGGCUAGCUCAUUAGUUCUUGGGUAUGUAGAAAUCUUCAUUUCUUUUGAAUGUUUUGACUUGCAAGCUUCCAUCUGUGACAUAAACGAAAGUCUCAUUUGAUUACCAUCCAAAGCAACUAUGAGCAAAGCUACCAUCUCUGGCUUGAAGUUAUCUCCAAGUUAUUGUCUAUGAUGAAGAACAGCAUUACCAGAAUGACAAAAAGCAAAUUUUUGAUUUUAUUUUCAUCUUUUAGCCUUAUUGAAUAGAUGUUUAUAGGAAAGAGUAUUAGUAUUUAAAAGAUUUAUAUUAAUGUCUAUUAUACCUACUUAGGUCCGUGAUUGAAUUUUAUUCUUAUCUUGUAGAGAAAAGAGAGUAAAGGAUCUUAGAUGACGGACUUGGAAUUGUUGAAUCUUUUCCCUGCAGAAGGCAGUGUUUCUUGUAUGUGAGGGUCAGGUGUGUCCUGGAAACAAAUGCAAAAAGAAGACUUAACCUUCAAGAAAAUUCAUGUCUAAUUUUGGAUCUCUCAGAGCAGCAUUAAAAAAAAAUGAAAACAAAGAGUGGAAAAAGGGAGAUUAGAUAGUAGAAUAGAUUGUUGCAUCCUGGAUUUUCAUUCUUUUCUUUUAUCUCUGCAGCCUUGAGGAUUUAUUGGCACCCAUUUCAUUUGUCUUUCUCUGGAUUUAACAUUGAGGUGAUGAGAUGGAAUAUUACCUGUAUGCUUCGGAACAUCUAUGAGUGACAUGUAAUAGUUGCCUGGGAAACUAGAGAUGAAAUUCUACAGGUCUUUGAAAUGCUUUACAUUUGAGAAUGAAGCUCAGCUGAAGUUUGAACAGCAUACUGACAUAUACCAACAAGAAUGAAAAUAACUUAACAGCAAUUUUAUAAAUUCACAUCCCCCAGAGCACCACAGAGUAAAGAAAUACUGCAUAUGGGUAACAACUGGUUCUUAGUUACUAAAUCUGAAAGAUCAAAUACAGUUAAUUACAUAAGCUUCUCUUGAGUUUUUCUGGGGGAAUAUACCAGGAGACCAUAAUCAAGCGCUUUCAGCAUCACCAGUGGCAUUUCAUACUGGUCCCAUGGUGUUAAUCCAGGUUUCUGGUAUUGCACUAAACACGAUGAAAAACAGGAGAGAACGGAGAGGGAUCAUGUUUUACCACAAUAUGCAAUUUAUGGGAGAGAUGAAGCGCUCAGGUGGAGAUGACUAGUGUCACGUGGUGUUUUAAGUGGAUACUCACAACGCUGGAACUCACAGCAAUAACAACAAGAGAUCCUCUAUAGACUGUUGAUGUAUAGCCAUGAGAAAAAAAAAAGAAAAAUUUUUGCUCUCAAUGAGCUUGCAUUUAAGCAUCUAUAAAAGGUGAGAUUAAUAUUUACUCAGUGAACUUUGAGUAAAGCAUUGGGUGCUUCAUUAUGUGGAGGAGUCUCAUCCAAUCAGUUGAAGGUGACUGAAUGGAACUAUAGAUCGACCUCACAUAAAUGAGAGGGAAUUCUGCAACAGAUCAUCUUUGCCUUUGAACUGCAGCAUGGACUCCCCUCUGGGUCUCCUGCCUGCCAGCCCACCCUGCAGAGUGCAUUUGCCAGCCUCCACAAUCAGGUAAUUUAUCCUGUGCAUUAACAAGAGGAAGUCUAGAGCCAUGGAAACCAAGUCAGGAAACUUCUCUCUUAUUAUUAGGUCCACUGCAAAUCUAGUUGAGACUGCAAAUCGAGCUAAUGAUAUCUUAAGUUAGAACAUCAUGCCAAGAGAAGUAUGUUUUCAACCAAGAAAGCAAAAUCAACAUGAUCCUAAAUGAACUGCUUCUGCAUGUCAACAGUCUUGAUAUACCUGAGAGAGUGAGAUACAGAGUAUGUUGUUAAACUUUUUAUAAUUACAAAUAUUGCUUGUAUUUCUUUUGAAAUUUGCCACACGCUGAUAUUAAAAAUAAUAGAUAGAAAAUCAAGAGA
Molecule: long non-coding RNA, 3805 nt
Filed under: Homo sapiens (human)
Lineage: Eukaryota; Metazoa; Chordata; Mammalia; Primates; Hominidae
Description: HSALNT0313329
Source: RNAcentral